CUAAGCGUGAAGCCUCCUUCAAGAUUAGAUCUCUCUGAUGAAAAUCAGUAAGGAACGUUGGAGACUACGACGUUGAUAGGCUGGGUGUGGAAGUACAGCAAUGUAUGAAGCUUACCAGUACUAAUGAUCCGAGAGACUUAAGUCUAU
RNAcentral lists this ribosomal RNA (147 nucleotides) under Francisella tularensis. RNAcentral describes it as "partial 23S ribosomal RNA". It matches the Rfam family "Bacterial large subunit ribosomal RNA", at positions 2781 to 2925 of the family's 2925-position model. Lineage: Bacteria; Pseudomonadati; Pseudomonadota; Gammaproteobacteria; Thiotrichales; Francisellaceae. The record is from RNAcentral.